Molecule: ribosomal RNA, 492 nt
Filed under: uncultured bacterium
Lineage: Bacteria
Description: partial 16S ribosomal RNA
Rfam family: Bacterial small subunit ribosomal RNA
Source: RNAcentral
AGUGAACGCUGGCGGUAGGCCCAACACAUGCAAGUCGAACGGCAGCACAGUAAGCGCUUGCUCUUACGGGUGGCGAGUGGCGGACGGGUGAGGAAUACAUCGGAAUCUACUUUUUCGUGGGGGAUAACGUAGGGAAACUUACGCUAAUACCGCAUACGACCUACGGGUGAAAGCAGGGGAUCUUCGGACCUUGCGCGAUUGUAUGAGCCGAUGUCGGAUUAGCUAGUUGGCGGGGUAAAGGCCCACCAAGGCGACGAUCCGUAGCUGGUCUGAGAGGAUGAUCAGCCACACUGGAACUGAGACACGGUCCAGACUCCUGCGGGAGGCAGCAGUGGGGAAUAUUGGACAAUGGGCGCAAGCCUGAUCCAGCCAUACCGCGUGGGUGAAGAAGGCCUUCGGGUUGUAAAGCCCUUUUGUUGGGAAAGAAAAGCAGCAGGUUAAUACCCCGCUGUUCUGACGGUACCCAAAGAAUAAGCACCGGCUAACUUCGUG